CUAUAAUGCAGUCGAGCGAACAGAUAAGGAGCUUGCUCCUUUGAAGUUAGCGGCGGACGGGUGAGUAACACGUGGGUAACCUACCUAUAAGACUGGGAUAACUUCGGGAAACCGGAGCUAAUACCGGAUAACAUUUAGAACCGCAUGGUUCUAAAGUGAAAGAUGGUUUGCUAUCACUUAUAGAUGGACCCGCGCCGUAUUAGCUAGUUGGUAAGGUAACGGCUUACCAAGGCGACGAUACGUAGCCGACCUGAGAGGGUGAUCGGCCACACUGGAACUGAGACACGGUCCAGACUCCUACGGGAGGCAGCAGUAGGGAAUCUUCCGCAAUGGGCGAAAGCCUGACGGAGCAACGCCGCGUGAGUGAUGAAGGGUUUCGGCUCGUAAAACUCUGUUAUUAGGGAAGAACAAAUGUGUAAGUAACUGUGCACAUCUUGACGGUACCUAAUCAGAAAGCCACGGCUAACUACGUGCCAGCAGCCGCGGUAAUACGUAGGUGGCAAGCGUUAUCCGGAAUUAUUGGGCGUAAAGCGCGCGUAGGCGGUUUCUUAAGUCUGAUGUGAAAGCCCACGGCUCAACCGUGGAGGGUCAUUGGAAACUGGGAAACUUGAGUGCAGAAGAGGAAAGUGGAAUUCCAUGUGUAGCGGUGAAAUGCGCAGAGAUAUGGAGGAACACCAGUGGCGAAGGCGACUUUCUGGUCUGUAACUGACGCUGAUGUGCGAAAGCGUGGGGAUCAAACGGAUUAGAUACCCUGGUAGUCCACGCCGUAAACGAUGAGUGCUAAGUGUUAGGGGGUUUCCGCCCCUUAGUGCUGCAGCUAACGCAUUAAGCACUCCGCCUGGGGAGUACGACCGCAAGGUUGAAACUCAAAGGAAUUGACGGGGACCCGCACAAGCGGUGGAGCAUGUGGUUUAAUUCGAAGCAACGCGAAGAACCUUACCAAAUCUUGACAUCCUUUGAAAACUCUAGAGAUAGAGCCUUCCCCUUCGGGGGACAAAGUGACAGGUGGUGCAUGGUUGUCGUCAGCUCGUGUCGUGAGAUGUUGGGUUAAGUCCCGCAACGAGCGCAACCCUUAAGCUUAGUUGCCAUCAUUAAGUUGGGCACUCUAGGUUGACUGCCGGUGACAAACCGGAGGAAGGUGGGGAUGACGUCAAAUCAUCAUGCCCCUUAUGAUUUGGGCUACACACGUGCUACAAUGGACAAUACAAAGGGCAGCUAAACCGCGAGGUCAUGCAAAUCCCAUAAAGUUGUUCUCAGU
Molecule: ribosomal RNA, 1258 nt
Filed under: Staphylococcus xylosus
Lineage: Bacteria; Bacillati; Bacillota; Bacilli; Caryophanales; Staphylococcaceae
Description: bacterial SSU rRNA
Rfam family: Bacterial small subunit ribosomal RNA
Source: RNAcentral